GUCAUGAUACCGCACUGUAUUUACAGUCCGUUUGAGGAUUCCGUCAUUUUGUGACUUUGUCAUACUACAUCAUACUAUAGUGGGCUGACGAUCUUUAGAUCACAUCCAACACUAAGUAAUUCUGCAUUGAUAACUCCAUCAUUUUUAUCAUCUUUGCACCAGGUUGCAUGAUGCAUUAAUGAUAUAAAAAUACAUUUUGA
RNAcentral lists this long non-coding RNA (200 nucleotides) under Panax ginseng (ginseng). Its description in RNAcentral is "long non-coding RNA (PGIN_LNC014361)". The record is from RNAcentral. Lineage: Eukaryota; Viridiplantae; Streptophyta; Magnoliopsida; Apiales; Araliaceae.